This is a non-coding RNA of Ictidomys tridecemlineatus (thirteen-lined ground squirrel), 69 nucleotides long. The record is from Rfam. Lineage: Eukaryota; Metazoa; Chordata; Mammalia; Rodentia; Sciuridae.
GGGGUUGUGGCUCAGCGGUAGAGCACUCCCCUUGCAUGUGGGAGACCCUGGGUUCGAUCCUCAGCACCA